This 1439-nucleotide ribosomal RNA is filed under the name Escherichia coli. Its description in RNAcentral is "bacterial SSU rRNA". It matches the Rfam family "Bacterial small subunit ribosomal RNA". Lineage: Bacteria; Pseudomonadati; Pseudomonadota; Gammaproteobacteria; Enterobacterales; Enterobacteriaceae. The record is from RNAcentral.
CCAGAUUGAACGCUGGCGGCAGGCCUAACAUGCGGUCAGACGACGGGAAGAAGCUUGCUUCUUUGCUGACGAGUGGCGGACGGGUGAAGUAAUGUCUGGGAAACUGCCUGAUGGAGGAUAUGCGAGCAGUAGCUGUACCGCCUUAACGUCGCAGGGAAUAUUGAGGGGGACCUUCAGGCCUCAUCGGAUAUUGCUGAAUGCGGAUUAGCCGGUAGGUGGGGUGCUGCCGACACUAGGCGGCGAAUCUAACUGGUCUGAGGAGGAUGACCAGCCACACUGCGGAACUGGGGCCGGUCCCAAGACUCUACGGGAGGCAGCAGUGGGGAAUAACUACAAUGGGCACAAGCCUGAUGCAACCAUUAUGAAAGCGCUGGGUUAGCAAAAGUACUUUCAGCGGGGAGAGGGAGUAAAGUUAAUACCUUUGCUCGGCGACGUUACAGAAGAGCACCGGCUAACUCGUGCCAGCAGCCGCGGUAAUGGGUGCAAGGCGUUAAUCGAUUACUGGGCGUAAAGCGCGGGCGGACUGUUAAGUCAGAUGUCUUGAAAUCCCGGGCUCAACACAGGAACUGCAUGGUACUGGCAAGCACCGAGUCGUGGGGUAAAUUCCGGUGUAGCGUUGAAAUGCGAGGAUCUGGAGGAAUGCAGGUGGCGAGAGCGGCCGGACGAAGACUGACACUCAGGUGAAACGUGAGGCUUAAACAGGAUGAUACCACGGUGGUCACGCCGUAAACGAUGUCGACUUGGAGGUUUGUGCGCCAGGGCGGCGGCUUCCGGAGCUAACGCGUUAAGUCGGCCGCACACGGUGGCCGCAAAGGUUAAACUCAAAUGGUGACGGGGCCGCGGCGGCGGUGGGCAUGUGGUUUAGUCGGUACGACUGAAAGAACCUUGCAGGUGCUUGACAUCCACCCGGAAGUUUUCCAGAGAUGAGGCACCUUCGCAGAGACGGAAUUUUGGCUGUCGUCAGCUCUGUGUUGUGGGAAAUGUUGGGUUGGAGUCCGCAACGGAAGCGCAACCUUAUCUUUGUUGCUGGCGGUCCCGGCCAGGGAAAGCUUCAAAGGGGAGACUGCCAGUAAACUGGAGAGGUGGGGAUGACGUCAAGUCAUCGCCCAAACCCCUCCCGACCGAGGCUACACGUGCUACAAUGGCGCAUACAAAGAGAGAAGCGACCUCGCGAGAGCAAACGGACCUCAUAUAAAGUGCGUCGUAGUCCAGUUGGAGUCUGCAACUCGACUCAUGGUCGGAAUCGCCCCAGUAAUCGUGGAUCGAUACGGUGAAUACGUUCUGAGCCUUGUACACACCGCCAAUCACACCAGCAAAUUGGAUUACAAAAGAAAGUGGGUAACUUAACCCGGAGACGCUUACCACUUUGUGGUUGUGACUGGGGUGAUCAUGCUGAGCAAUGGGGAACCUGCGGUUGGAUCACCCUGCUUACCUUAAAG